RNAcentral lists this ribosomal RNA (439 nucleotides) under uncultured bacterium. RNAcentral describes it as "partial 16S ribosomal RNA". It matches the Rfam family "Bacterial small subunit ribosomal RNA", at positions 339 to 795 of the family's 1533-position model. The record is from RNAcentral.
CUACGGGCCGCACCAGUGAGGAAUAUUGCACAAUGGGGGGAACCCUGAUGCAGCAACGCCGCGUGGAGGAUGACGCAUUUCGGUGUGUAAACUCCUUUUAUAUGUCAAGAAGAUGACGGUAGCAUAUGAAUAAGCACCGGCUAACUCCGUGCCAGCAGCCGCGGUAAUACGGAGGGUGCAAGCGUUACUCGGAAUCACUGGGCGUAAAGGACGCGUAGGCGGGGUGGAAAGUCAGGUGUGAAAUCCUACAGCUUAACUGUAGAACUGCACUUGAAACUUCUAAUCUAGAGUAUGGGAGGGGGAGAUGGAAUUAGUGGUGUAGGGGUAAAAUCCGUAGAUAUCACUAGGAAUACCUAAAGCGAAGGCGAUCUCCUGGAACAUUACUGACGCUAAGGCGUGAAAGCGUGGGGAGCAAACAGGAUUAGAUACCCUAGUAGUC